RNAcentral lists this long non-coding RNA (269 nucleotides) under Elaeis guineensis (African oil palm). RNAcentral describes it as "long non-coding RNA (EGUI_LNC031588)". The record is from RNAcentral. Lineage: Eukaryota; Viridiplantae; Streptophyta; Magnoliopsida; Arecales; Arecaceae.
UCGGAAGGUAGGGGUUCGAGUUUGUGAAGAAGACUUCCCUUAUUUUCUUCUCUUCUUCUAUAGUGGCCAUGCUCGGAUUGCCAAGGGCCGAAGCUGUUGUAGCGAUUGGGGGUUAUCGCUGCCAUCGAGGAUUGCCGAUGUGGGAGGGGAGGUGGUUGCUCCUAAUGCCUUUUGCCUUCUUUAUUUUUUUCAGAAAGCCGAAACAAAAAAGAUAAGAGAAAAUUAAAAAAAACUCCCUCUUUCCUCUCUUUUCUUUCUCUCUCAUCUAU